This 1838-nucleotide long non-coding RNA is filed under the name Equus asinus (donkey). RNAcentral describes it as "lncRNA (ENSEASG00005035609.1)". The record is from RNAcentral. Lineage: Eukaryota; Metazoa; Chordata; Mammalia; Perissodactyla; Equidae.
GUCCUUGACAGUGUCUGUCUCCAUGGAGGAUAGUGGAUUCUGGAGCCAGGAAGCCAGAGAGUAAGCAGGGAAUGAGUGUUUUGGUUUUAAACCAUAUAUGCUGGGUUUAAUGUGGGGAAACUGAUAUCAGGGUCGGUAUCAUUCCCUUUUGCCCAGCUUAGAAUCUAUGACUCGAAAUUAUAUUUACCCAACUGUAAAUAGUUUCAUUUACCUUGUCACUCUCUUAUUUCUUUGUUUUUCAAAAACUUACUUGCAAAUAAAACCUAGCCAUUAACUUUCUCACCUGUGUCUAUCAACCUAGGCAAGGCCAUAAAAAAUUACAAAAACAGAUUGGUAUCAUUAGUAAGUUAAGAUUUUCUGCCUCAGACUCUAAAAAUCACCUGAAACUGUUUCAAAAAACUAUGAUGACUUCAUGCUUCUACAUUCCACAGUGAUUUUCUUCCAAUUUCAUUUUGACGAACUGGGAACCCCUCGUCUUCCAGAUCUACAAACCUAUCUUCUUUAGAAGCCUGAACCUCUUUUUCUCCUGUUUCUCUGGGAGUAGUUUCCCUCCACCUGUGAGACUACAAGUCUCUAUACCCCAUUAAGGGAAGGACAGUAGGCUGAUCCCGUUGGCAGGCCGAGGGAAGGAAACGGAUCUAGCCUAGAUUCUGAGACUUCAAUGUAUAGAUAACAAUUGAAAACCGUGGCUUGUUUGUGAAGUAGAAAAUGAAGCAAUGACAUUAGAUGAUUCCAAAAAGAAGAUUAAUCAAAGUGGAGAAAAGGACAAGAGAAAAAUGAGAAAAAGCCACAUUUUAAAAGGUUUUUGAGAAGGAAGUUGUUAAGUCACAAACACUCUGGUGACUCUGAGAACUGAAAAGUGUCCAUUGGAUUUUCCAAUCUUAAAACCCACCCACAGGAAAAGUUGGGUCUGCAAGCUAGACUUCACAGAUUGUUACCAGCCAGCAACCUCGCAAGCUGUGGCCCACCUGUGACCAUGGCAGAUAGGACAGAAGAUGCAAGAGGGAGAGUCAGUCCCCAUUGCCAUUUUCAGCAUAGUGUUCACAACUCACCAAUAAGCCAACCGCACUCUGACUCAUGCCUGGACAGAACUUACAGAACCUAUGCGUUUCCUCCCUGAGGCAUAUCACGCCUUCUUGUGCUCGGGAACACUGGACGGCACGUUAGUCCCGCACUUGGGGAUCAUUUUAAACUGUAAAAUCACCGAGAAAAAACAUGAAGAUGUGAAAAAUGUGGCACCAAAUAUACUGUGAAAAGGACAACUUGUUUACAAGAUGAGAGCUGAAACAAUAAGGCAGAACAUUGCCUCUUUGACGUCAGCUGGCAAUGUGCAUCUCAGGGAACUUGAAUGCUGUUCUGUGCACAUCCGCAAAUAACCGUGAGAGCAUCGUGAGUGUUGACUAGAGAUACAAAAAGUUUUAGCUAGUAGGAGAAUUAGCCAAUAUGAAUCUGGGAAUAAUAAAUAUCGUCUGUCUCUCUCUAUCUGUCUAUAUCUAUACGUACAAUAUAUACAUACACGAGCAUAUAUACAUAUAUGUAUGUAUACAUAUCUAUACACAUGUAUGCGUAUAUAUAUGAAUAUCUUAUAUAUGUUCUAUAUGAUACUUUUUUAUUCCAUAUUUUAUUUCUCAUCUCUGUUCACGGUGAUGUCUACAGAUCUAGUCUAUUCAUUUUAAUGGAUGCUUAGUAUCUCAUUCUUAACCGCUGUAACUUUUUCCAUGUUGAAGGAAUAAGCACUUUUAUGAUGUCUAAAUCACCCUCAUGUGUGUGUAUCAUCUCUCUGUACCAUCACUUCACUAGAUAUACAGGAUGGAAUAAAUAUUUUUGAUUAUAUAAAA